This 1284-nucleotide long non-coding RNA is filed under the name Taeniopygia guttata (zebra finch). RNAcentral describes it as "lncRNA (ENSTGUG00000024415.1)". Lineage: Eukaryota; Metazoa; Chordata; Aves; Passeriformes; Estrildidae. The record is from RNAcentral.
GGCGGAUAAGGGGAGCGCUGUGGAGCGCGGGGCCUGACGGGACUUGUAGUCCUGGCUCGGUUAAGCCGCCAUGGAGCCGCUGUGCAUGACGGGGCUUGUAGGCUCAAAGUCGCUAAAAUGGCGCCGACACCAGGCCCCGCCUCCAGGUGCUGUUCCCGGGUGCUGAUUGGUUGCAGACAUUGAUAGGCGGGAGCCUCAGCCAAUGGGAGGCGGCAGAGGCGGGACCAGCCCAUUCAACCCCUCCAGUCCCUCCCAGUAAAACCCAGUUAAUCCCAGUCCAGGCUAGUUCCUCCCAGUACAGCCCCAGUGCCCCUCCAGUCCCUCCCAGUGCAGCCCAGUUUGCCCCUGUGCCUCCCAGUAUCUCCCAGUUCUACCAGUGCCACUCCCAGUUCGUCCCAGUCCAUCCCAGUUUGUCCCAGUGCAUCCCAGUGCCACUCCCAGUCUGUCCCAGUGCUCCCAGCAUCCCCCAGUGUCACUCCCAGUUCAUCCCAGUAUCCCCCAGUUCAUCCCAGUCCUUCCGCGGCCAAACCUCUGCCCUCCCCCAUAUUUGGCCACGCCCCUUCCAUUGGUCACGCCCCCUCGUUCCGUGCCCCGCCCCCUCCCAUUUCUCCCCCGCCCCCAUUUCCAGUUCCCGCGGCUGCUCUGGGAAGUUCUGUCCCUGGCCAGAGGCGACACCCCGAUGCCUCCAGUCCCUUCCAGUUCGGUGAGUGCGGGAACUGGGAGGGACUGGGAGGGUCCCCAAAGUGUCCCCAAAGUGUCCCCAAGGUGUCACCAGGGUGUCCCCAAGGUGUCCCCAGGUGUCCACAGGUGUCCCCAAAGUGUCCCCAAGGUGUCCCCAGGUACUCCCAGGUGUCCCCAACGUGUCCCCAGGUGUCCCCAAGGUACCCCCAGCUGUCCCAGUGUCCCUGUCCCUGUCCCAGACUGGUGUCACCUGCACGUCGGUGGCCUCGCGGUGGCCGCAGUGCUGAGCGUGCUGGGGGUCGUCGUCCAGUGAGUGCCGCCCCUGUCACCUGUGUGUCACCUGUGUGUCACCUGUGUGUCACCUGUAUGUCACCUGUGUGUCACCUGUGUCACCUGUGUGUCACCUGUGUCACCUGUGUGUCACCUCUGUGUCACCUCUGUGUCAGCUGUAUGUCACCUGUGUGUCACCUGUGUCACCUGUGUGUCACCUGUGUGUCACCUGUGUGUCACCUGUGUCACCUGUGUGUCACCUCUGUGUCACCUCUGUGUCACCUCUGUGUCCCCUCAGGUGGGAAGUGCAAGUGCCGGAGCAAGGCCAGGUGA